This 22-nucleotide small nuclear RNA is filed under the name Arabidopsis thaliana (thale cress). RNAcentral describes it as "snRNA_11052". The record is from RNAcentral. Lineage: Eukaryota; Viridiplantae; Streptophyta; Magnoliopsida; Brassicales; Brassicaceae.
CGGCUCAGCCGGAGGUAGGGUC